GGGGUGGAGGGAACCGCGGCCCCCUGCCCGGGAGCAGCACCCGGGGGACGACACAAGCACGCAAACGGGGCGUGGGCGAGGGGACGCACCUAACGCGGGGCCACCCGGAGAGAGACCUUCUCCACUCAAUCUUGAGACCCUAAAACCUGCAGAGGGCGCAGGCUGUGCCCAGCGCCUGGGGGGCAGGGAGCGGGUCUGGUGGAGGGACUGGCGGUUGGGGUUGCAAAGGCCCUGGGGCCAGGUCAGCUGGCGAUGGGAGGCGGGACGCCAGGGCGGCCCGGGCACCUGUAAUCCUGCUGGAAGGAACCUGCGUGGGAAUCCCCUGAGUUGCCCUGCAACCAGUGAGUCAUCCUUUUCCAGCCCGCCAGGACGGAGGUGUCACCCUGCUGAGCUGGCGGCCGGGUGGCCACUCUUCAGUCAGCAGCCCUUCCUUGCCAAGCUCCCUGUCCCCAGCGCUCCGCCCCCAAAAUGUGUGCAUGACAAUCCUCUGAAAGCGGCAGUCCCUAACGCGAGAGCGUUUUCAUGCUGGGAGAUCGGCAGGUACUUCCAGGCUGGAUCAGCCCCAGCAGUGCCAAGGGCUGUAGGCAGCCGCCUUCCUGGGAAGCAAGACUUUGUCCGGGAAACCUCCUCUGGACGCAGGGUGGGGCCCCGAGCCCAGGGCUUCUGCG
This 668-nucleotide long non-coding RNA is filed under the name Sus scrofa (pig). RNAcentral describes it as "lncRNA (ENSSSCG00005004183.1, ENSSSCG00065007154.1)". The record is from RNAcentral. Lineage: Eukaryota; Metazoa; Chordata; Mammalia; Artiodactyla; Suidae.